RNAcentral lists this ribosomal RNA (483 nucleotides) under Vibrio cyclitrophicus ZF99. RNAcentral's name for it is "bacterial SSU rRNA". It matches the Rfam family "Bacterial small subunit ribosomal RNA", at positions 1 to 472 of the family's 1533-position model. Lineage: Bacteria; Pseudomonadati; Pseudomonadota; Gammaproteobacteria; Vibrionales; Vibrionaceae. The record is from RNAcentral.
AAAUUGAAGAGUUUGAUCAUGGCUCAGAUUGAACGCUGGCGGCAGGCCUAACACAUGCAAGUCGAGCGGAAACGACACUAACAAUCCUUCGGGUGCGUUAAUGGGCGUCGAGCGGCGGACGGGUGAGUAAUGCCUAGGAAAUUGCCUUGAUGUGGGGGAUAACCAUUGGAAACGAUGGCUAAUACCGCAUGAUGCCUACGGGCCAAAGAGGGGGACCUUCGGGCCUCUCGCGUCAAGAUAUGCCUAGGUGGGAUUAGCUAGUUGGUGAGGUAAUGGCUCACCAAGGCGACGAUCCCUAGCUGGUCUGAGAGGAUGAUCAGCCACACUGGAACUGAGACACGGUCCAGACUCCUACGGGAGGCAGCAGUGGGGAAUAUUGCACAAUGGGCGAAAGCCUGAUGCAGCCAUGCCGCGUGUAUGAAGAAGGCCUUCGGGUUGUAAAGUACUUUCAGUUGUGAGGAAGGGUGUGCAGUUAAUAGCUGC